CACUCUCGCCUCAUCGUUCCUCCCAUUCCGCGAUAAUAAACCCUCCCAUUUUCAUCAACCUUUUUUUUAGGGUUUAUCUCCAAAAACCCAAGAAACCCUAGCUAAUGGCGUUCGCCGGUCCAUCAUCUCUCCUCUCAUCUCGCUCCAUGUGUAGUAGAUUAAAUCCGCUCUUGUUCUCCCCACGAGCUCGUCGAAUUAGGGCGCCGCCUCCGCGCUGGAAUCAUCGUCGUCUCCAUCGAAAUUUCUUCUCAGUUAUGGCGUCGGAAAAUGAAGUGUUCACCUCUCCGGAGAUGGCGAAGUCGUUCGAUUUCGGAGCGGAGGAACGGAUAUAUAAGUGGUGGGAGUCUCAAGGUUUUUUCAAGCCUAGCUUUGAUCGCGGAGGAGAUCCUUUUGUGAUUCCAAUGCCACCUCCAAAUGUUACUGGAUCACUGCAUAUGGGGCAUGCAAUGUUUGUUACCCUCGAGGAUAUAAUGGUGAGGUACUUCCGGAUGAAAGGAAGGCCUGCACUUUGGGUUCCUGGAACUGAUCAUGCUGGUAUUGCAACUCAGUUGGUUGUGGAAAGAAUGCUUGCAUCAGAAGGAAUCAAAAGGACUGAGCUAAGUAGGGAGGAAUUCACAAAGAGAGUUUGGGAGUGGAAAGAGAAGUACGGGGGAACAAUCACUAAUCAAAUAAGGAGAUUGGGGGCAUCUUGUGAUUGGAGUAGGGAACAUUUCACCCUCGAUGAGCAGCUAAGUCGUGCGGUCGUUGAGGCAUUUGUUAGGCUUCAUGAGAAAGGGCUUAUUUACCAAGGAUCUUACAUGGUCAAUUGGUCCCCGAGCUUGCAAACUGCGGUCUCUGACUUGGAAGUUGAAUACUUCGAAGAGCCUGGCACUUUGUAUUAUAUUAAGUAUCGUGUUGCAGGUGGUUCACGGAAUGAUUUUAUGACAAUAGCAACCACUCGUCCAGAGACAUUAUUUGGUGAUACUGCAAUUGCUGUUAAUCCUGAGGAUGAGCGUUACUCUAAGUACGUUGGUAGACUGGCAAUUGUACCCUUGACAUUUGGCAGAUUGGUUCCUAUUAUUUCUGAUAGAUACGUCGAUAAAGACUUUGGUACUGGGGUUUUGAAGAUUAGCCCUGGGCAUGAUCACAAUGAUUAUCAUAUUGCUAGAAAGCUUGGUCUGCCUAUACUCAAUGUUAUGAACAAAGAUGGCACAUUGAAUGAGGUGGCUGGAUUAUACAGUGGCCUUGAUCGGUUUGAGGCUCGAAAGAAAGUAUGGUCUGAUCUUCUAGAGACUGGUUUGGCAGUGAAAGAGGAGCCUCAUACUUUGCGAGUUCCCAGAUCCCAGCGUGGUGGUGAAGUCAUAGAACCGCUGGUGAGUAAGCAGUGGUUUGUUACCAUGGAGCCUUUAGCUGAGAAGGCUCUUCAUGCAGUUGAACAGGGACACCUAACCAUUCUUCCUGAUAGAUUUGAAAAGAUAUAUAAACACUGGUUGACAAACAUUAAAGAUUGGUGCAUAAGUAGGCAAUUAUGGUGGGGGCACCGAAUACCAGUUUGGUACAUAGUGGGCAAGGACUGUGAAGAGGAUUAUAUUGUUGCAAGAAGUCCAGAGGAAGCACUUGUAAAGGCUCAGGAGAAGUAUGGAAAGUCGGUAGAAAUAUAUCAAGAUCCUGAUGUUCUUGAUACUUGGUUUUCCAGUGCAUUGUGGCCUUUUAGCACUCUUGGAUGGCCAGAUUUAUCUAGUGAGGAUUUCAAGAAGUUCUAUCCAGCAACCAUUCUUGAGACUGGUCAUGACAUUCUAUUUUUCUGGGUGGCUCGAAUGGUGAUGAUGGGGAUCGAGUUCACAGGAACUGUUCCUUUUUCCUAUGUUUAUCUGCAUGGCCUUAUACGGGACUCACAAGGACGAAAAAUGUCAAAGACGUUGGGUAAUGUCAUAGAUCCAUUGGAUACCAUUAAGGAGUAUGGCACUGAUGCGUUGCGUUUCACUCUUUCAUUGGGUACAGCUGGACAGGACCUUAAUCUUUCCAUGGAGAGACUAACUUCAAACAAGGCUUUCACUAACAAACUAUGGAAUGCGGGCAAGUUUGUGUUACAAAAUCUGCCUGAUAAAAGUGAUGCCACUGCAUGGGAACCCCUAUUAGCAAAUAAGUUUGAUACGGAGGCAUUGCUCGCUAAACUACCUUUACCAGAAUGCUGGGUGGUAUCAGAACUUCAUGAGCUCAUUGACAAUGUCAGCACAAGCUAUGACAAGUUUUUCUUUGGAGAUGCUGGUAGGGAGAUCUAUGAUUUUUUCUGGGGAGACUUUGCUGAUUGGUAUAUUGAAGCUAGCAAAACUCGUUUCUACCACUCUGGGAAUCAGUCGCUUGCUUGCAUUGCACAAGGCGUUCUGUUAUAUGUAUUUGAAAACAUAUUGAAGUUGCUGCAUCCUUUUAUGCCAUUUGUCACCGAAGAAUUAUGGCAGUCAUUACCAUAUAGAAAAAAGGCUCUUAUUGUGUCCCACUGGCCAGAGACUUCAUUUCCAAGGGACAUCAAAUCCAUCAGAAGAUUUCAGAAUUUGCAGUCAUUGGUGAGAGCGAUCAGGAAUGCACGAGCAGAAUACUCUGUUGAGCCAGCUAAGCGCAUAUCCGCUUCUAUUGUUGCGAAUGCAGAUGUUCUUGAUUACAUAUCUAAUGAAAAGCAAGUCUUGGCUUUAUUAUCCAGGCUUGAUCUACAGAAUGUGCAUUUCACAGAAUCUCCUCCUGAUUAUGCAAACCAAUCUGUGCACCUGGUGGCUGAUGAGGGCUUAGAGGCUUAUCUCCCUCUCGCUGACAUGGUGGAUGUAUCUGCUGAACUUGAGCGGCUUUCUAAGCGUCUCUCUAAGAUGCAAACAGAAUAUGAUACUCUUGUUGCUCGCCUCAAAUCUCCCAAUUUCAUAGAAAAAGCACCAAAGGAGGUGGUUCGUGGAGUCCAGGAAAAGGCGAGUGAAGCAGAAGAGAAGAUCUCUCUCACUAAGAACCGGCUUGCUUUUCUCCAAUCGACAGUUUCUUCAUCAUGAUAGUUCGCAAUAUCAAAAGUUUAUAUCUUUCCUAUCUCUCGUAUGAAUCUGGAAACAUUUAUGAUAUGAAGCAGCUGAUGCAGAAUGGGUGGCAUUUGAAGGAUUUAUAUUCAUCCUUCAUGCUUCAUGGUAAGUCCCUUGUUCUCAAUGCCCAUUGAUGUCUCCGAAUAAUUUGUCGAUUAAAUUAUGUAGAUUCCAAAUUAUUUGCCGAAUAACAAGCUGGUUAUUUAAUUUAUUAGGUUGUGCAUUUUUCCGCCAAUAUAAUUGAAGGUGUUAUAGAUAAGUGACAUAGUUAUCAUCCUGUAAUAGUAUAUAAUUGCGCUUUGUGGUCCGCAAAGCAGUCUCAGUUUUGUUCCAGUUUAUGUCAGUUCGUGCCUGUGUUAUUUUGAUGUGUUCUAUUUUACUGGAAGAAUUGACUGACUCCAACAUCCCGGCUAUAUCUUGUAUGUAUUCAUUCUGUGAGUUGUUUUCUUGCUUUAA
Molecule: RNA transcript, 3491 nt
Organism: Ananas comosus (pineapple)
Lineage: Eukaryota; Viridiplantae; Streptophyta; Magnoliopsida; Poales; Bromeliaceae
Gene name: valine--tRNA ligase, chloroplastic/mitochondrial 2
Exons: 28
Source: RefSeq, a predicted model, not a curated record